AUUGAACGCUGGCGGCAUGCCUUACACAUGCAAGUCGAACGGCAGCACGGGUGCUUGCACCUGGUGGCGAGUGGCGAACGGGUGAGUAAUACAUCGGAACAUGUCCUGUAGGGGGGGAUAGCCCGGCGAAAGCCGGAUUAAUACCGCAUACGAUCUACGGAUGAAAGCGGGGGACCUUCGGGCCUCGCGCUAUAGGGUUGGCCGAUGGCUGAUUAGCUAGUUGGUGGGGUAAAGGCCUACCAAGGCGACGAUCAGUAGCUGGUCUGAGAGGACGACCAGCCACACUGGGACUGAGACACGGCCCAGACUCCUACGGGAGGCAGCAGUGGGGAAUUUUGGACAAUGGGCGAAAGCCUGAUCCAGCAAUGCCGCGUGUGUGAAGAAGGCCUUCGGGUUGUAAAGCACUUUUGUCCGGAAAGAAAUCCUUGGCCCUAAUACGGUCGGGGGAUGACGGUACCGGAAGAAUAAGCACCGGCUAACUACGUG
This 486-nucleotide ribosomal RNA is filed under the name uncultured bacterium. Its description in RNAcentral is "partial 16S ribosomal RNA". It matches the Rfam family "Bacterial small subunit ribosomal RNA", at positions 30 to 507 of the family's 1533-position model. The record is from RNAcentral.